AAGAUCUCAUCCUGGUGUCCCAUUCCAGUGUCCCCAAUGUCCCAUUCCAGUGUCCCCUGGCUGUCCCUGCUGUCACAGGGUGAAGAUCUUGUCCUGGUGUCCCAUUCCAGUGUCCCCAGUGUCCCAUUCCAGUGUCCCCAAUGUCCCAUUCCAGUGUCCCCAAUGUCCCAUUCCAGUGUCCCCUGGCUGUCACAGGGUGAAGAUCUCGUCCUGCUGUCCCAUUCCAGUGUCCCCAGUGUCCCCUGGCUGUCACAGGGUGAAGAUCUCGUCCUGGUGUCCCCAAUGUCCCAUUUCAGUGUCCCCANUGUCCCCUGGCUGUCACAGGGUGAAGAUCUCGUCCUGGUGUCCCAUUCCAGUGUCCCAAAUGUCCCGUUCCAGUGUCCCCUCGCUGUCCCUGCUGUCACAGGGUGAAGAUCUCAUCCUGCUGUCCCAUUCCAGUGUCCCCAAUGUCCCCUGGCUGUCACAGGGUGAAGAUCUCGUCCUCGGCGUCGCGCAGCGCGGCCGCCCGCGGGCUCCGGCUCAGGGGCCGGGGUCCCAGGCGGGCGCCCCGGGGGGACGCGGGGCCGGGG
This 569-nucleotide long non-coding RNA is filed under the name Lonchura striata (white-rumped munia). RNAcentral's name for it is "domestica (Bengalese finch) lncRNA (ENSLSDG00000012461.1)". Lineage: Eukaryota; Metazoa; Chordata; Aves; Passeriformes; Estrildidae. The record is from RNAcentral.